This 449-nucleotide ribosomal RNA is filed under the name uncultured bacterium. RNAcentral's name for it is "bacterial SSU rRNA". It matches the Rfam family "Bacterial small subunit ribosomal RNA", at positions 355 to 796 of the family's 1533-position model. The record is from RNAcentral.
UGGGGAAUUUUGGACAAUGGGGGCAACCCUGAUCCAGCCAUGCCGCGUGCGGGAAGAAGGCCUUCGGGUUGUAAACCGCUUUUGUCCGGAAAGAAAAGGCGCCCCCUAAUACGGGGCGUUCUUGACGGUACCGGAAGAAUAAGCACCGGCUAACUACGUGCCAGCAGCCGCGGUAAUACGUAGGGUGCGAGCGUUAAUCGGAAUUACUGGGCGUAAAGCGUGCGCAGGCGGUCCGCAAAGUCUGAUGUGAAAGCCCCGGGCUCAACCUGGGAACUGCAUUGGAAACUAACGGGCUCGAGUGUGGCAGAGGGGGGUGGAAUUCCACGUGUAGCAGUGAAAUGCGUAGAGAUGUGGAGGAACACCGAUGGCGAAGGCAGCCCCCUGGGCUAACACUGACGCUCAGGCACGAAAGCGUGGGGAGCAAACAGGAUUAGAUACCCCCGUAGUCC